Molecule: ribosomal RNA, 373 nt
Filed under: uncultured bacterium
Lineage: Bacteria
Description: bacterial SSU rRNA
Rfam family: Bacterial small subunit ribosomal RNA
Source: RNAcentral
ACGAACCAUCCAAACGUUAUUCGGAAUCACUGGGCUUAAAGGGUGCGUAGGCGGCGUGAUAAGUUGGGUGUGAAAUCCCUCAGCUCAACUGAGGAAUAGCGCCCAAUACUGUUAUGCUCGAGGAAGACAUAGGUGAGCGGAACUUAGGGUGGAGCGGUGAAAUGCGUUGAUAUCCUAAGGAACACCAGUAGCGAAAGCGGCUCACUGGGUCUUAUCUGACGCUGAUGCACGAAAGCCAGGGGAGCGAACGGGAUUAGAUACCCCGGUAGUCCUGGCCGUAAACGAUGAGUACUAGGUUGGAGAGUCCUCCAUAACUUUCCAGCCGUAACGAAAGUGUUAAGUACUCCGCCUGGGGAGUAUGGUCGCAAGGCUG